CUCUCUCUCUCUAUAUAUAUAUAUAUAUAUCAUGAGAUUGGUUCUCUAGCUUGUCCCGUUAAAUAGUCGCUUGUUGAAAGAAAGUUGAAAAGAACAUAGCCUUUGAUAUUUGUCUGAAUAUUUGUGAUUAAUUUAUUAUCUAAAAUCAAUGGCUAACACAUGUACACAUCCUAAAUCUUAGAAUAAUUUGGUAUUUUAAAUUUAUAUAGUAUUUAUGAAUGUCUUACAAUAUA
RNAcentral lists this long non-coding RNA (233 nucleotides) under Elaeis guineensis (African oil palm). RNAcentral's name for it is "long non-coding RNA (EGUI_LNC017838)". The record is from RNAcentral. Lineage: Eukaryota; Viridiplantae; Streptophyta; Magnoliopsida; Arecales; Arecaceae.